CUUAAAACACUUAGGUCGUGACCCUAAAAACUAGAGGCACCCCUCUUCCGAGCU
RNAcentral lists this transfer RNA (54 nucleotides) under Agama insularis. Its description in RNAcentral is "tRNA-His". The record is from RNAcentral. Lineage: Eukaryota; Metazoa; Chordata; Lepidosauria; Squamata; Agamidae.